Molecule: long non-coding RNA, 17476 nt
Filed under: Salvia miltiorrhiza (redroot sage)
Lineage: Eukaryota; Viridiplantae; Streptophyta; Magnoliopsida; Lamiales; Lamiaceae
Description: long non-coding RNA (SMIL_LNC007977)
Source: RNAcentral
CUGGAGUCAUGUGGCAUUCCUAUGAUUAAAGACAUAACUUGGUAAGAUCAAUAAUCACAGAAAACCAAUUGAGCAGUUGGGGAGGAUCUUGGCAUUCUCAACAGUUUCUGUGAUGCCAAAAACAAAGAUUUUGAUGGACGUUGAGGUGGCAUGAUUCCUUUUACGUUGAUCACCAUCUUUUCUAGAUUGAUUGCGUAUUUUAACAGAUACUCUAAGAAUGGAAAUACGUCGUCAUCCUCAUCCCAAGUAACCACAACUGUCCUCAACUGCAGAAAGGACUUGGGAGGAUAUGCUUCAAACUUGAGGUAGCUCAUGGCAUCAAAGUUGAGUGACUCUCGGUUUUCAUGCGCCCCGUAUCCUCCACUCCAUACAAUGACUAACUUCUUUAAUUGAGGGAAACUCUCAAGUAGGCCUACUAAUAGUUUGUAGUCACUGAAACAAAAUCUGAGUUCUAAGGACUUGACAUUAGGAUAAGAGGAAUUNCCCGUAUCCUCCACUACAUACAAUGACUAACUUCUUUAAUUGAGGGAAACUCUCAAGUAGGCCUACUAAUAGUUUAGUAGUCACUGAACAAAAUCUGAGUUCUAAGGACUUGACAUUAGGAUAAGAGGAAUUCAUGCAUCUCUUUAUCAUAGCUCCAAGCACCUAAUGUAACAUAAGUUCAUAAAAUAAUCAGCUCACUGAAGCAAACACCAAGUAAGAUAAAAGGCAAGCAUUGAUUUUUAGGGAUGCAACAGUGACUUCAUCAAAUUAAAAGAAUGUCAAACAUUCCAUAUCAUUUAUGGUUAUUACAAUACUAACAUACAAGUCACAAGCUUGAUGCUACAAAGUAAUGCAUAUAUAAAUUCUAGAAUGGAUUUAAAAAGGCCAAAAAAUGGAUAGGAGUUAGUUGCAUGAUAAAUGUGGGAACUCUUAUAAGUGGUUCAGUUAAAGAAGCCAAUGAUGCAACAAAGAAAGCAUACAAACACCGCCAUGCCAUCCAAGCUGAGAUUCACAGAUUAAUUGAAGUUAGAAUUACGAGAACAUGACUAACAACUAUGCUAAAUAAAUAAUGAAAACUUCAUCAAUAUAUUUAGAAUUAAUUUGAUCUCUUCAGUCUCAUUGCUACUCUAUUAAUACAUAACAAAUGCAAGACACAUAAGAUAGUUUAAAGAAACCAAACCUUGAUGCAAAGAACAUUAAUUUGACGUUUACAACAUGUUGCAUGGUUGAGAGAAAUUGACAGAACACGUCUCCCAGAAAAUCAUCCUUGGUAAACAAGCCAAGCUUGGUGUCCAUCCAAGGAAAGACACUUUCAUUUCCAUCAAAUUCAUAACCAUGUAGACCAAAAAACCCAAGAGUUGCAUUGGUCAAAGAUGAGAUAUUCACCAACAUACUCUUUCUAUAUGGAACUCCUUCAAUUUCCAAGGUUUCAAGAUUCGGGGUACAAAUUCUCAGUUCGGAAUCCCACCAUAGUAGAUCUUCACGAGAACAAAAAAACUCGCGAAUCGACAGCACUUUCAAACUAGUAGAUCGGAUACACAAGUGUUCACCCAUAUCGACAAAAGACAUGAUCAAGACUUCCAACUGAGGACUACCACAAAGUAUCUGGUUAAUCAAAGUUCAGUGACCCCAAAGCCAUAAGUAAUUGUUAAACUUUUGAGUUGAUUCCACUGCACAUUCCCAUAUACUCUAAAGUUACAAUCCUCAAACGAUAACACCUUAAGCGAUGAGCACGAGUAUACACACUGUGGCACAUAGUAUAUGUCGUCCAUACUAUCAAAAUCAUCAUCCCAAUCUUUUGGUAACCUAAUAUGUAAGUAGAAUUCUUCGACCCCUUAUCUGCAAAUUGAACCACAAAUCAACCCAAAUAAUGGACCCAUCAUUCUGAUAAACCGAUUUGACCUUAUAACCCAUUUAACUUGAAUUUCAGAACCUUACCCCAUUCCAGCGAUAAGGCCCGAUUAACGAAGUUUUAAGCUUUCUAUCAUCAUAAUUCAUGCAUAUUGUCGAAAUUAAGGAGGUGCGGUGGUCCAAAGGUUUUUCCAGCGCUUCGAUAGAAUCGUUGUCCUAACAACAUCAGUCAUAGGCAACGACCAAAAUAUGUGAAAUAUUAACGAGUCCGGCAACUCACUGAGUCGAUCCAUGAAAACCUCUGAAACAUAUGAAGCAUCAAUGAAUGAAAUGAGCACAAAAACUCAGAAUUCACCUUUAAUGGAAGCAAAAUAACACAUAUUAUAUAAAAUUCUGAAGAUUGAUUACCUAAGAUGAACGCGUCUUCUUCGCGCCAACAAAACCCUUGUUUGAGCUAAUGAACUGACGGACACUGAAGUGAAAAUUAAGGGGUGGUCUCACUACUAUAAAAAGGGCCUUUAAAAUUGGUUUUAAAUUUCACUCAAAUUAAUCUUUUUAUUUUUAAAAUCGAACAUUUUAUUAAAUUUACAAUAAUUAAAUAAAAUGGUAUUUAUAGAUAAAUUUAUGUGAAAAAUGGAAGAAAUGGAAUAGUAUUUAUAGAUAAAUUUUAGAAUAAAAAGGAAAAGAACAACCGUUGCAAUGGCUAAUUUAAAAAAAUGGACAAAAAGAGCCAUUGGGAUUAAUUUAAAGUUUAAUUUUGAAAUAGCGCGCAUAGCAUGCACCUCAUAUUUCUUAAUGAAAGCACGGCGUGAGGCUUAAAGCUCGGCACAAGCUUGAGGUGUGGCACUAGGAGGGCGGUGCAGAUAGCGAGGCUCGAUGUGACGGGUAGAGUCCCAUUGCGGAUGUUCUAAAUAAGAAUAUAUCUUAUACACUGAUAUAGUGAUAUGUAUUUAUUCGCAUGUAUUUAUAUUAGGUUGUUUCCUUGGUCUUCAUUAUUAUAUUGUAGUCUUGUUUAAGGUUCACCUCAAUCAAUUAACAAACAAGGAUAAUGUAUCAUUCAUUUUUGUUAGAGCUAAAUUAUUAACUCUAUUUUAUUUAUAUAGUUUUAUCUUUUUUAUUAAAUAUAUUAUAUUUCAGAGAAUAUAUAUUGUUUUUUUUUUUUGUUGAAGGAAGAGAAUAUAUAUUGUUAGAUUGCAUUUGCAACAUAUUAAUUUGGUUAUGGGCCGGAAAUAAUUUGGUUAUGGGUCAGAGUUUGGGCUCACCAUCCUUAAUUUUCAAGCUUCAAUAGCUCUAUAAAUAGAGCCCAAAAAUUGCACCUAAUCAAACCACAAACACAUUUUUAUGAAAUCGAUUUUUUAAUGUCUAGAACUUAGAAACCCAAAAACUUUUUUAUUCCAUGGGCAACUCACUAUAUAGGAUGCUCCAUCGUGAUUAUGUUUUUUUUUUUCCUUUAUUAAAUAAACAAAAUAUUUAGUUGAUAACUAAUAAAAGAGGUGACAAUUUCAGUUCUCUUUUGCUUGAAUACAACAGAAAUCUAAAUGAUCAACGUUUUAUAUGUGAAAGAAAUGAAAUCAUUAACAAGUAUUUGAAGCCCUAGACUAAUUUGACAUUGGGAAGUAAAGCAAAAUAAGUAACAAUCUAGAUUUCAUCCAUAACAAUAAGGAGUAAACAAGUGUGCUACAAAUGAAAAGAGCAUCAACUUAAUCCAAAAGUGUCAAAUUGCUCUGCUUCCCAGAAUAAUCAAAUAUAAUCCCCAAAAUGAAACAGAGGACAUUAAAAUUGCAAACUAUUACACAUCUAAGAAGACUAUCAGUUACAAGGAAUCAUGCUGUAUUCCUCUAUGAUUGAAGACAUAACUUGGUAAGAUCAAUAUUCACUUAAAGUGAACCGUGCAGCUAGGGAGGAUCUUGGCAUUCUCAGCAGCCUCUUUGACGCUAAACGCAAGGAGUUAGAAGGGUGUGAAGGUGACAUGGUUCUUUUUACUCGAAACACAAUCUUUUCUAGCUUACUCGCAUUUUUCAACAGAAACUCUAGAAAUGGAAAUAAGAUGUCACCCUCAACCAAAGUAACCUCAACCCUCCUCAACUCCAGCACAAACGACAUAGGAAGAUUUUUUUCAAGCUGGAGGUAGGUGUUAGCAGUCCGCAGUGAAUCACGGUAAUCAUAGGACGGGACACAUUCUCCAACUUCAAUGAAUAACUUCUUUAAUAGAGGGGAAAUCUCAAUCAUACCUACAUAUUUAAGAAUGAAAUCUGUGCCGUAAGGACUUGACAUUAGGAGAGAUGAAUUCAUGCAUCCUCUAUCAUAGCUCAAGCACCUGUUGUAUCAAUAAGUUUAUAUAAGAGGAUGAGCUGAUUGAAGCAAAGACCAGUAAGAUACAAGGCACAACAUUGAUUCAUGGGUAUGUAAUGAUAAUUCCCUAAAUUUAAGAGGUGUCCAUAAUUGGUUCAAAGCUAAUCAUAAUAAUGCAAAAUUACUCAACAUAAAAUCUCUAAAAUGUGAUUAGAAAGGCAAAAAAAGAUAGAGUUUAUCCCUGAUAAAUGUGAUAACCUUAAUAUAUUUGAUUCAGUGAAGAAGCCACUUAUGAAACAAAGAAAAACAUACAAACACAGCCAAGCCAUCCAUGCACAUUCAUGUAAUAAUUAACACAACAUAAUCAAUAGGUAUGCCAAAUAAACUAUGAAAUCAUUAUCAAGCGUGAUUAACAAAUGAAAUGUUACUUUAUGCAUAAAUCUAUAAGAAAUGUAAGUGCCGGAAGAAGAUCAAAGAAACCAAACCUUGACGCAGCAGGACAACAAUGUGAUGUUUUCAACGUGUUGGAUGCUUGGAAGAACUUGACCAACUAAAUCUCCAAUAAAAUGGUUCGUGGAUAACAUGUCACAAUAUUCAUUAAACAAUGUACAUAAGAAUACCCAAUAGUUGCAUGGGUUAAAGAUGAGACAUUCAUCAACAAGCACUUGUUAUAUGGAUUCCUUUAAUUUUUAGUGUUUAAGAUUUGGGGUCCAAAUCUCAGCUCCUAUAAUAGAUGCAUCAUCGCAUUAUCAUCAUAACAUAAAAUAUUGCAAAUCGACAGCUCUUUCAAACUAGUAGAUCGGAUACACAAGCUUUGAGCUCUAAAUUCAAAAGACAUGGUUAAGACUUCCAACUGAGGGCUGCCACACAAUAUUUGAUUAAUCACAUCUUCGGUGACCCCAAAACCAUUCAUAAUUCUCAGGCUCUUGAGUUGAUUCCACUGCACAUUCACCUUAAUUCUAAAGUAACAAUUCUCGAUCGAUAACAUUUUAAGUGAUGAGCAUGAGUACAGAUACUGUGGCACCCAUGAUACAUGGUGAUCUUCCUAAUCCAUGACAUGUCUGGCAUCAGAUUAUGCAAGUAUAAUUCUUCGACUUCAUAUUUCUUGGCAAAUCGGACCCACAAAUCAACAUCUCCACCUGAUUCAUCAUAAUCCGCAACAACCUUGAAUUUCAGAACCUUACCCCAUCCCAGCGUAAUAAAGUCUGGUGAACGAAGUGUCGAAAUUUAUCUGUAGUACUAAAUUGUGAACCAGAUUUAGAUUCAUCAAAAUUAAGGAAAGGGGUGGUGGUCCAGAGGUUUAACCAGCGCUUUGACAGAAUUGUUGUCCUAACAACUUCAUUCAUAGGCAACAACCAAAAUAUGUGAAAUAUAACAGAGUCCGGCAACUCACUGAGUCGAUCCAUCUUCAAAAUCAAAUCAUCCAAAGCAUAAAUUCACCUAAACAUAUUCGGAGCAACAACACAUACUAUCAAAUCCUCGAAGAUUACCUCAAAUGAACGCUUUGUUCUCUCGGAUGCUGCAGCCCAAAAUUGCCCUAGUUUGAGCUAAUCAACAAACACAGAGAGCUCAAAAGCCAUUAAAUCGGGCUGCAAACGAGCUCUGGUCGUCUAUUAGGGCUCGAGCUCGGCUCGUAAAAGGCUCGUUGAGUUGAGCUAGAGAAAGAGCUUGUUCAACAAGUAAGGGGCGAAAGGAUCCAUGGAGGCCGCGACUAGAAGCGACAGAUGUGGCGGCGGAGUCGGUGAAUUUGAAAAAAUCAAUCGACAAAAUGAUGUGCUUUUAGUUCAGCUGAUGGGGUGGCAGGUUGAUAAUGGCGGCGGAAAGUGGAGAAGAUGAAUUGAAUGGUGGCGGGAUUGAUUUCGGCCGGUGUGGGGGUGGGGUGCUGCGGUGGUGGGAGAGAGGCUGGCGACUGAGCGGCGGCGGGUUCGGAAUUGGAGAUGCAAUUUGGGGGAGUUGUGCAUACUGAUUAUUUAUACGUAUUUUUCUAAAAUAUUGAAUUUAAUUAUUAAUUCUAAAAAUAAUUUGAAAUUACACAAACAAAAAUCCAAAACAAUUAAAUGAAAUAGAGAAUUUACAUUACAUGGUAAAAAAGGUUUUUGAAGAUUUAAAAAGAGAAUUUAAUAUCAUACUAUUUAUACCACAUGACAUGACAACAAAAUAUAAACAAUUCUAAUGGACUAAAAGAAAAUAUUUGAAGAUCAUAAUUACUCAAUAUUAUCACGUACAUGUAUGAUUAAAUUAGUAAUCUAUAUAAUAUUAUAUAUAAAAAAAGAUUUUUUUUUUCCUUCAUUUUUUUCCUCUCUUUUCUCUCUCUUUCCACAAUUUUUUUUACUAUUUUUUCUUUUUGUUUUUUUAUAUUUUAAUUAUUUUCUAAACAUCCUCAAUUUGAUUCAUGAAAAAAAAUAUUCAAUAUGCAUUUCAAAUUUAAUAUAGUAUAAAAAUCAUCAAAAAAUAAUUUAAAAAUGAAUAGUUAUGAAAAUUUAAACUUUUUAUUUAUGUUUGUGUACUUGGAAAUAUUUAUUUAUUUAUUUAUUAUGACGCGUACUAUAUAAUAAUAUGCGUAAUGCUAAUUUUAGUAUAGAUAAUUUUAAAUUUAUUUAAUAACUAUAUUUAUCAUUACACUUUUACAAAGUUGAAAAAUUACAUUUUCAAAUUUAUGAUUUUAUUGAGUAACUGAUAUGGAUUAUUACACUUUCUUUUAAAACAUAUUUUGAUUUUUUAAUAUUAUUAUAAUAUUUAUUUAUAUAUUUAAAUAUAUCAUUUAAUUUUAAAUGAAAUAUGUAAUAAUCUAUUUUUAUAUAAAUAAUCUAAUAUGCUCAGUAAAUGUAGAUAAAAUAUUUAAUAAAUUAGUAUUAAUGGUGGUGAUAAAUAUAAUGAUAGUAUACAUUUAUCGAUCUCCUUGAGAUAUAUUUCUUAAAUAUCUGAAAUUAAUAAAAGCAUCAUUUCAAACACUUAUCCUCUACUCUAACAAUAUCUACGAUAAUUUUUAUUUGAAAUAACUGGUAAUAAUUGUUCAUACCCAUAUACUUUAACAUCCAUGACAACAUAAUAAAUAAUUAAAUUUUAAAUAUAAAAAAUUCAAAAUAACAUUUACUAUUAAAAAAAUAAUGUCUCUUGUGCAUACGAGAGUAAAACUAGUUUUUUUAAUGUUUAAAAGUUAGAAACCCAAAAACUUUUUUAUUCCAUGGGCAACUCAAGGAAGCUCCAUCGUGAUUAUGUUUUUUUUCCCCCUUAUUAAUUUUAACAGAAUAUUUAGUUGAUAACUAAGAUAAGAGGUGACAAUUUUAGUUCUCUUUUGCUUAAAUAGUUGAAUACAACAGAAAUCUAAAUGAUCGACGUUUUAUAUGUGAAAGAAAUGAAAUUGUUAACUAUCAUAUGAAGCACAAGAUUAAUUUGACAUUGGGAAGUAAACCAAGAUAAACAACAAUCUAGAUUUCAUCCACAAGAGUGCUACUGAUCAAGGUUUGACAUUGGGUGUAGCACUGAUCAAUUUCUCUGUUUUCACGAACACGUUUGACAAGAAAAAUAGCAAUCAAGGUUUCAUUCAUAGCAAUAAGAAGUUAAUCCAAACGGUGUAAAAUUGCUCCACUGCCCUGAAUAAGCUAAAUACAACCCCAAAAUGAAACAAACAAGGUAACAAAAACUGAGACAGGGUUGAAGAAAAGUAAAAUCCAACUCCCCAUCUCGGAGCAUAAUGCCGUCAUAGCAAAAUAUUAGCCGUCUACGAAGACAAUCAGCUAGUUACCUGGAGUCAUGUGGCAUUCUCCUAUGAUUAAAGACAUAAUUUGGUAAGAUCAAUAUUCAGAGAAAAUCAAUUGAGCAGUUGGGGAGGAUCUUGGCAUUCUCAACAGUUUCUGUGAUGCCAAAAACAAAGAUUUUGAUAGAUGUUGAGGUGGCAUGAUUCCUUUUACUCUGAACACCAUCUUUUCUAGAUUGCUUGCAUAUUUUAACAGAAACUCUAAAAACGGAAAUACGUCGUCAUCCUCAUCCCAAAUAACCUCAACUGUCCUCAACUGCAGAAAGGACUCGGGAGGAUAUGCUUCAAACUUGAGGUAGCUCUUGGAUCAAAGUUGAGUGACUGUUGGUUUUCAUGUAUCUCGUUUCCUACUUUAGAUUCAAGGACUAACUUCUUUAAUUGAGGGAAACUCUCAAGUAGACCUACUAAUAGUUUGUAGUCAUUGAAACAAAAUCCGAGAUGCAAGGACUUGACAUUAGGAAAAGAGGAAUUCAUUUCAUGCUUCUCUUUAUCAUAGCUCCAAGCACCUGAUGUAAAAUAAGUUCAUAAUAAUAAUCAGCUCACUGAAGCAAACACCAAGAAGAUAAAAGGCAACAUUGUUUUUAGGGAUGCAACAAUGACUUCAUCAAAUUAAAAGAAUGUCAAACAUUCCAUAUGAUUUAUAGUUAUUACAAUGCUAACAUACAAGUCACAAGCUUGAUGUUACAAAGUAAUGCAUAUAUAUAAAUUCUAGAAUGGAUAUAAAAAGGAUAGGAGUUAGUUGCAUGAUGAAAGUGGGAACUGUCUCUAAUAUACGUGGUUCACAUGCACACACUAAUUGAAGUUAGAAUUAAGAAAACAUGACUUAACAACUAUGCUCAAUAAAUAAUGAAAACUUCAUCAACAUAUUUAAAACUAAUUUGAUCUCUUCAGCCUCAUUGCUACUCUAUUAAUACAUAACAAAUGCAAGACGCAUAAGAUAGUUUAAGGAAACCGAACCUUGAUGCAACGGAACAUUAACGUGACGUUUUCAACAUGUUGGAUGGUUGAGAGAAUUCGACAGAACAUGUCUCCCAAAAAAUCGUCCGGGGUAAACAAGCCACGCUCAGUGUUCAUCCCAGGAAAGUCCGAAUCAUAUUUAUCAAAACCGUGUAGACCAAAAAACCCAAGAAUUGCGUGGGUUAAAGAUGAGACAUUCACCAAUAGACACUUUUUAUAUGGAGCUCCUUUAAUUUCCAAGGUUUCAAGAUUUGGGGUACAAAUUCUCAGUUCUGAAUCCCAACAUGGAUCAACACGAAAAUAUGAAGACAUGUGAAUCGACAGCACUUUCAAACUAGUAGAUCGUAUACACAAGUUUUCACCUCUAUCUACAAAAGAUAAGAUCAAGACUUCCAACCGAGGACUACCAUAUAAUAUUUGGUUAAUCACAUGUUCAGUGACCCCAAUACCAUUAAUAAUUGUUAAACUUUUCAGUUGAUUCCACUGCACAUUCCUAUAAUUUCUAAAGUUCCAAUCCUGACACCAGAACACUUUAAGAGAUGAGCAUGAGUAUACAUACUGCGGCAACCAGUAUAUGUCGUCAAGAUCAUCAAAAUCAAACAGAAUAUUCAAGUAUAAUUCUUCGACCUCCUUAUCCUUGCCAAAUAGAACCCACAAAUCAGUACCCAAUAACAUGGACUCAUCAGCAUAAGCCGAUUUGAACUUGAAUUUCAGAAGCCUUACCCCAUUCCAGCGCAAUAAGGCCCGAUUAACGAAGUUUUGAAGCUCUCUAGCAUCAUCAAAAUCCAUAGCAGCAUUGUCGAAAUUAAGGUAGGGUGCGGUGAUCCAAAGGUUUUUCCAGCGCUUGGAUAGAAUCGUUGUCCUAACAACAUCAGUCAUAGGCAACGACCAAAAUAUGUGAAAUAUUAACGAGUCCGGCAACUCACUGAGUCGAUCCAUGAAACCCUCUGAAACAUAAUGAAGCAUCAAUGAAUGAAAUGUGCAUCAACAACUCAGAAUUCACCUUUAAUGGAAGCAAAAUAGCACAUUGACAAGAUUACCUCGAGAUGAACGCUUCUUCAUUCUCGCGCCAAAAAAACCCUUGCUUGAGCUGAUGAACAUAACACACGAGACUGAAAAGGCAUUAAAGUUGAAAAUUAAGCGUUGGGUCCCUAAAAUAAAUUCAUCUUUUUAGUUUUGGGACCUCCCCAAAUAAGUUUCUCUUUCUUUGUUUUUAUUUUUGGACAAUUAUCUCACGACUAAUAAUAAUUUAUUUAUUCUUACUUUUUACUUUUUCACCACUUCCAAUACUAAUUACUCCAUCCGUCCGCCAAAAGUAUUCCACAAUUACUAUAUUUGGCGUCAGCAAAAAGUAUUCCACUUUCCUUUUUAAGUCAUGGUCCCACCAUCCACCUUUAUAUUUUAUCCUUACAAACACUCUUUAUUUACAAAAAACUCACCUCAAAUUCAAUCUCAACCACACAUCUCAUAAAGUGGUGGGACCCUUUCUCCACUACAUCAACAUCAUCACCAAUUUUAUUAAACUCCGUGUCCAGCCAAAGUGGAAUACUUUUGGCGGACGGAGGGAGUAUAAUAUUUUUUCACCAUUCCCAAUACUAAUUACUCCAUCCGUCCCACUGCAAUAAGCUCACUUCUUUUGGGCACGGAAAUUAAGAAAAUUUACUUUUUAGUAGCAAAGUGGUAGUAAAGUGGUGUGGUCCACACCAAUUUAGUAGUACAACUUUUUCUUCAAAAUGGAAAAUGAGUUUAUUGGAGUGGGACAUCCCCAAAAGGAAAAUGAACCUAUUAGAGUGGGACGGAUGGAGUAUAGCAUAUUUUUUUCCACUAAUAUACUUUAUCACUUUUUCUUAAAAUUCGUGCUGUCCCCAAAGAGGAAUUUAUUUUGGGGACAGAGGGAGUAUUCCAGAAAUUUGAUGAUGAGAUUCUUUUGGUAAAAAAUUUUUAUAGGGGUUUUAACUAUUUUAAAGUGUUAUUCGUAUAUGUGGAAGAGGCAAUCUGUUUUUCAUUUUGUCACCAACCAAAACCAUUGGCAGAUAACCAUUUUAUCUCUCUUAAUUAAAAAGGGACUUUAAAAUUGGUUUUAAAAAUUUUUAUUUUCAUUUUACUUAAUAUACCUUUUUAUUUAAAACCAAACAUUUCAUUAAAUUUAAAAUUUAAGCAUUACAUUGAUUAAAAUAAAAUAUAAUAAUAAAAAUAUAUUACAAUAAUAUAAAUAAAAUGAAGAGUUGGAAGAGGAGUUGGAAAAAUAAGACAUUAUUAGAGGAGAAAAAUGAAAAAUAAAAGAUGAGUAGUAGUAAUUGAUAAAAUCGAAUAAAUGAAAUACCUAUUUAUAGAUAAAUUUUAUAAUAGAAAAAAGCGAAACAACAGUUGCAGUGACUAAUUAAAAAAAUAGACAAAAAAGAACCAUUGGGAUCAAUUUAAAAUUUAAUUUUAAAAUAGCACGCGCAUAGCAUGCGCCUCAUAUUUAUCGACGAAAAUCCGACAUGAGGCUUAAAGCUCGGCACGAGCUUGAGGUGCGGCACUAGGAGUAGGAGGGCAGUGCGGAUAGCUGUGCUCAUUGUGGCAAUUAGAGUCCCGUUGUGAAUGCUCUAAAUAAGAAUAUAUCUUAUACACUAAUAUAGUGACAUGUAUUUAUUCGUAUGUAUAGUAUUUAUAUUAGGUUCCUUAAGGUCUUCAUUAUAAUACUGUACUUGUUUAAUAUGUUCACCUCGAUCAAUUAACGAACAAGGAUAAUGCAUCAUUCAUUUUUGUUAGAGCUAAUUAGUUUAUUUAUAUGGUUUUAUCUUUUUUAUUAAACUAGCAGAAAUAGCGUCCAUUGUACGCAUAAUUAAUAUUAUUUUAUUUGAUAAAAUAUAAAUAUAAUAUUUAUUAUAUUUAAUUUUCAAUUAACAAUUUGAUCUAUUUAAUUUUUUUAAUUCUAUUAUUUAUCUCUUACCACGAUUAAUUAGAAAGAAUUGGUAAGACCGAGAGAGUAUAAUUAAUUGAUAUAUAUCACAUAAAUUUAGUGUAAUAUCUAAUGAAUUAAUAUAUUCUUAUAAAUAUAUAACAUGUAAAAUAACUUUAAAAUAAAAAUACAAUAGGAAUAAAAUAGGUCAUCCACAUAUUAUGUCUAAAGCACUUUUUAUAUAUUUUUAUAUAUUAGUAUAGAUAUAUUACAUUUAAGAGAAUAUAUAUUGUUAGUUUGCAUUUGUAACAUAUAUUAAUUUGGUUAUGGGCCGGAGUUUGGGCUCACCGUCCUUAAUUUUCAAGCUUCAAUAACUCUAUAAAUAGUAUCAAACCGCAAACACGUUUCUAUGAAAUCUAUUUUUUAAUGUUUAGAACUUAGAAACCCAAAAACUUUUUUAUUCCAUGGGCAACUCACUAUAAGAAGCUCCAUCGUGAUUAUGUUUUUUUUUUCCUUUAUUAAUUUAACACAAUAUUUAGUUGAUAACUAAGAAAAGAGGUGACAGUUUCAGUUCUCUUUUGCUUGAAUACCAACAGAAAUCUAAAUGAUCGACGUUUUAUAUGUUAGAGAAAUGAAAUUGUUAGCUAUCAUAUGAAGCACUAGAUUAAUUUGACAUUGGGAAGUAAAAGCAAGAUAAACAACAAUCUAGAUUAACAAGAGUGCUACUAAUGAAAAUUGCUCUGCUUCCCUAAAUAAGCAAAUAUAUAAAGAACAAUUGAAGACGAAACAAAAGGAUAUCAAGCUCAGCACAUACUGCAUUCCUAUGAUUGAAGACAUAACUUGGUAAGAUCAAUAUUCAAGAAAGUAAAUUGUGCAGUUCAUGAGGUUUCAUUCAUAGCACUAAGAAAUUCAUCCAAAAGUGUCGAACUGCUCUACUGCCCUGAAUAAGCAAAAUACAACAACAAAAUGAAACAAACAAGGUAACAAAAACUGAAACAGGGUUAAAGAAAAGUAAAAUCCAACUCCCCAGAUCGGAGCAUAAUGCCGUCAUUGCAAAAUAUUUACAGAAAAUGUACGACAAACGCUAUUACCCGUCCAAGAAGACAAUCAGCUAGUUACUUGGAGUCAUGUGGCAUUCCUAUGAUUAAAGACAUAACUUGGUAAGAUCAAUAUUCACAGAAAAUCAAUUGAGCAGUUGGGGAGGAUCUUGGCAUUCUCAGCAGUUUCUGUGAUGCCAAAAACAAAGAUCUUGGCAUGAUUCCUUCUACUCUGAACACCAGCUUUUCUAGAUUGCUUGCGUGUUUUAACAAAAACUCUAAAAACGGAAAUACGUCGUCAUCCUCAUCCUCAUCCCAAAUAACCUCAACUGUCCUCAACUGCAAAAAGGACUCGGGAGGAUAUGCUUCAAACUUGAGGUAGCUAUUGGCAUCAAAGUUGAGUGACUCUUGGUUUUUAUGCAUUUCAUAUUCUCCUCUAUCGUCAAGGACUAACUUCUUUAAUUGAGGAAAACUCUCAAGUAGACCUACUAAUAGUUUGUAGUCAUUGAAAUGAAAUCCAAGUUGCAAGGACUUGACAUUAGGAAAAGAGGAAUUCAUGCAUCUCUUAAUCAUAGCUCCAAGCACCUGAUGUCAAAUAAGUUCAUAAUAAUAAUCAGCUCACUGAUGCAAACACCAAGUAAGAUAAAAGGCAAGCAUUGAUUUUUAGGGAUGCAACAAUGAUUUCAUCAAAUUAAAAGAAUGUCAAACAUUACAUAUCAUUUAUAGUUAUUACAAUGCUAACAUACAAGUCACAAGCUUGAUGUUACAAAGUAAUGCAUAUAUAUAAAUUCUAGAAUGGAUUUAAAAAGGAUAGGAGUUAGUUGCAUGAUGAAAGUGGGAACUCUAAUAUACGUGGUUCACAUGCACACACUAAUUGAAGUUAGAAAUAAGAAAACAUGACUUAACAACUAUGCUCAAUAAAUAAUGAAAACUUCAUCAACAUAUUUAGAAUUAAUUUGAUCUCUUCAGCCUCAUUGCUACUCUAUUAAUACAUAACAAAUGCAAGACGCAUAAGAUAGUUUAAAGAAACCGAACCUUGAUGCAACAGAACAUUAAUAUGACGUUUUCAACAUGUUGGAUGGCUGAGAGAAUUUGACAGAACGCAUCUCCCAGAAAAUCAUCCGGGGUAAACAAGCCACGCUCAGUGUCUAUCCCGGGAAAGGAAUCAUAUACAUCAAAAUAAUGUAGACCAGAUAGCCCAAGAGUUGCGUGGGUUAAAGAUGAGACAUUAACCAACAGACACUUUUUAUAUGGAGCUCCUUCAAUUUCCAAGGUUUCAAGAUUUGGGGUACAAAUUAUCAGUUCUGAAUCCCAACAUUGAUAACCAAGAAGAGUAUAAUACUUUCGAAUCGACAGCACUUUCAAACUAGUAGAUCGGAAAGACAAGUUUUCAUACUCUCUAUCUGCAAAAGACAAGAUCAAGACUUCCAACCGAGGACUACCAGAUAAUAUUUGGUUAACCACAUGAUCAGUGACCCCAAAGCCAUCAAUAAUUGUUAAACUUUUGAGUUGAUUCCACUGCACAUCCCCAUAAACUCUAAAGUCUCUAAAGUUACAAUCCUCUAACCAUAACACUUUAAGAGAUGAGCACGAGUAUACACACUGCGGCAAACAGUACAUGUCGUCAAACAGAAUAUGCAAGUAUAAUUCUUCGACCCCCUUAUCCUUAGCAAAUUGAAGCCACAAAUCAAUACCCAAACAGAUGGAAUCAUCAAACUCAUAACCCGAUUUGAACUUGAAUUUCAGAACCCUUACCCCAUUCCAGCGUACUAAGGCCCGAUUAACGAAGUUUUGAAGCUCUCUACCAUCAUCAAAAUCCAUAGCACCAUUGUCGAAAUUAAGGUAGGGAGCGGUGGUCCAAAGGUUUUUCCAGCGCUUCGAUAGAAAUGUCGUCCUAACAACAUCAGUCAUAGGCAACGACCAAAAUAUGUGAAAUAUUAUCGAGUCCGGCAACUCACUGAGUCGAUCCAUGAAACCCUCUGAAACAUAAUGAAGCAUCAAAGGAAUGAAAUGUGCAUCAAAAACUCAGAAUUCACCUUUAAUGGAAGCAAAAUAACACAUUGUAGUAUCAAAUUCUCGAAGAUUACCUCAAGAUGAACGCUUCUUCGCUCUCGCGCCAACAAAACCCUUGUUUGAGCUAAUGAACAAACAAAGGAGACUCAAAAGGCAUUGUAGCAUUGCUGCCUAAAAGCGCUAAAGUGGAAAAUUAAGCUUGGAACUUGGGGUUUUAAAAUCGCAAAUCGAAAUAAAAGCUGCUAUUGCAUUCUUUUAUAGGGGUUUUAAUUUACGGUAAUGUUCUUUGAACAAAAUAUAUGUCCGCACAAAAAUAUGGUUAAAUAUUUUUAAAAGAUAAAUUUAUUUAAAAUUUUUGGUUCAAACAAAACAAGAAUUUUGUUAGUUUUAUUCAUUUCUCCUUAUUAUAUUUUUUGUAAUUAUUUAAUAAUAUUUUUAAUUUUUAUUAUUUUUAAAGUGCAAAAAUUACAAAAAAAGGAAAAUAAUAAAAAUUAAAAGAAUUGUUAAAAAAUUACAAAAAAAACUACAAUAUGAAAAAAUUAAUAAAGCUAAAUAAAUCCUGUUUGAAUUUGAACCAAAGAUUAUAAAUAAAUCAAGUUUUUUAAAUUUAUGACCUUUUUUUAUCAGAAUAAAUUUUGUCCAAAUAACACUGCCAUUUAAUUUAUUCUGUCACCAACCAAAACCAUUGGCAGAUUACCAUUUUAUCUCUCUUAAUUAAUACCUUCUCAUCAAAAGCGAGGUGGAUAUUUUUGUGAUAUUGGAGUAAUUACUAAUAGCAUCCACUUAAGAGCUACUACUUUAUAAGAAGGGACUUUAAAAUUGGUUUGAAAAUUUUUAUUUUUAUUUUAUUCAAAUUGAUUUCUUCAUUUUUGAAAUCAAACAUUUUAUUAAGUUUUAAAUUUAAACAUUACAAUGAUUAAAACAAAAUAUAGUAAUAAAAAAAUAUUACAAUAAUUAAAUAAAAUGAAGAGUUAGUUGGAAGAGGAGUGGGAAGAAGAAGACAUUUUAAAGGAGGAGAAUGAUAGAAAAUGAGUAGUGAGAAUUGAUGUGAAAAAUAGCAGAAAUGAAAUACUCAAUAGAUCAAUUUUAGAAUAAAAAAAAGUGAAACAACCGUUGCAUGACUAAUUAAAAGAAAUCGACAGAAAGAGCCAUUGAGAUCAAUUUAAAAUUUAAUUUUAAAAUGGUGUGCACAUAGGUUGAGCCUCAUAUUUCUAGACGAAAGUCUGACGUGAGGCUUAAAGCUCGGCACGAGCUUGAGGUGCGGCACUGGGAGGGCAGUGCGGAUAGUGGGGCUCGAUGUAGCAGGUACAGUCCCGUUGUGGCCCGUGUGGAUGCUCUAAAUAAAAAUAUAUAGUGUAUUUAUAUUAGGUAGCUUCCUUAAGGUGUAGUCUUCAUUAUAAUACCGCAGUCUUGUUUAAGGUUCACCUCAAUCAAUUAACGAACAAGGAUAAUGUAUCAUUCAUAUUUGUUAGAGCUAAUUUAUUAAUUCUAUUUUAUUUGUAUAGGUUUGUCUUUUUUAUUAAAUAUAUUAUAUUUAGGACAAUAUAUAUUGUUAGUUUGCAUUUGCAACAUAUUAAUUUGGUCAUGGCCGGAAAUAAUUUGGUUAUGGGCCGUUAUUUGGGCUCACCAUCCUUAAUUUUCAAGUUUCAAUAACUCUAUAAAUAGAACCCAAAAAUUGCACCAAAUAAAACCCCAAACACGUUUCUAUGAAAUCUAUUUUUUAAUGUUUAGAACUUAGAAACCCAAAAACUUUUUUAUUCCAUGGGCAACUCACUAUAAGAAGCUCCAUCGUGAUUAUGUUUUUUUUUUUUCCCUUUAUUAGUUUAACAGAAUAUUUAGUUGAUAACUAAGAAAAGAGGUGACAAUUUCAGUUCUCUUUUGCUUGAAUACCAACAGAAAUCUGAAUGAUCGACGUUUUAUACGUGAGAGAAAUGAAAUUGUUAGCCUAUCAUAUGAAGCACUAGAUUAAUUUGACAUUGGGAAGUAAAGCAAGAUAAACAACAAUAGUGCUACUAAUGAAAAUUGCUCUGCUUCCCUAAAUAAGCAAAUAUAUAAAGAAAAUUUGAAGACGAAACAAAAGGAUAUCAAGCUCAGCACAUACUGCAUUCCUAUGAAUAUGAUUGAAGACAUAACUUGGUAAGAUCAAUAUUCAAAAAAGUAAAUUGUGCAGUUCAUGAGGUUUCAUUCAUAGCACUAAGAAAUUCAUCCAAAAGUGUCGAACUGCUCUACUGCCCUGAAUAAGCAAAAUACAACAACAAAAUGAAACAAACAAGGUAACAAAAACUGAAACAGGGUUAAAGAAAAGUAAAAUCCAACUCCCCAGAUCGGAGCAUAAUGCCGUCAUUGCAAAAUAUUUACAGAAAAUGUACGACAAACGCUAUUACCCGUCCAAGAAGACAAUCAGCUAGUUACUUGGAGUCAUGUGGCAUUCCUAUGAUUAGAGACAUAACUUGGUAAGAUCAAUAUUCACAGAAAAUCAAUUGAGCAGUUGGGGAGGAUCUUGGCAUUCUCAGCAGUUUCUGUGAUGCCCGAAACAAAGAUUUUGAUGGACAUUUAGGUGGCAUGAUUCCUCUUACUCUGAACACCAUCUUUUCUAGAUUGCUCGCGUAUUUUAACAGAAACUCUAAAAACGGAAAUACUUCGUCAUCCUCAUCCUCAUCCCAAAUAACCUCAACUGUCCUCAACUGCAGAAAGGACUCGGGA